This 146-nucleotide small RNA is filed under the name Rhizobium sp. BK602. RNAcentral describes it as "sRNA ar7". It matches the Rfam family "Alphaproteobacterial sRNA ar7". The record is from RNAcentral. Lineage: Bacteria; Pseudomonadati; Pseudomonadota; Alphaproteobacteria; Hyphomicrobiales; Rhizobiaceae.
CACCGGCGAUUGAUUACGCCGAGGGUCUGACAACCGGCCUGUCCCCCGCCAUGUCAGACUUGGACAAAGGCCUAUCCCCCUCUCCGGGCCUUUGUCCCCCUUUUCAGAGCCGCCAUGGCGCCCCCUCCAGGCCAUGGCGGCUUUUC